Molecule: ribosomal RNA, 230 nt
Filed under: Clostridioides difficile
Lineage: Bacteria; Bacillati; Bacillota; Clostridia; Peptostreptococcales; Peptostreptococcaceae
Description: partial 23S ribosomal RNA
Rfam family: Bacterial large subunit ribosomal RNA
Source: RNAcentral
GAGACAGUUCGGUCCCUAUCCGUCGCAGGCGUAGGAAAUUUGAGAAGACCUGUCCUUAGUACGAGAGGACCGGGAUGGACGUACCUCUGGUGUACCAGUUGUUCUGCCAAGGGCAUGGCUGGGUAGCGAUGUACGGAAUGGAUAAGCGCUGAAAGCAUCUAAGCGCGAAGCCAACUUCAAGAUAAGAUUUCCCACCGCAAGGGUAAGACCCCAGAAAGACUAUCUGGUUG